AAUGUUAACCAUUGCCAACUCAUAGUGGCAUUACCAAUCAAAAUAUACAUAUAUUGUCUAAGUCAUAUAUCUUAGUAAUUUACAUCGCGUUUAUCUAUACACAACAAAAAGGGACUCGACUUCCAGCGGAGUGAGCUUGGUGAAGGUACAGCUAUUGAAUGCCGAGAUACCUACCAAGGAGACGAAUCUACGUGGACACCUCGACCUAGGUUCCAACUGCCUCCUGAUCUGAAAACAUGAAGUUGAAAACAGUGAGUAUAAACCUAAUGAGUGAACAUAAGAAGGGAACAAGCAAACAAUAUGAAGAGAUUUUGAAAACAUGAUGCACUUUAGUUACAAACAAUGCAAUUUAGUUUAAUUUCUUGUAAAGCCUCUUAAUUCAACCCUUGGUUAUUUAAUUCCUUAGCAUUGAAAAUCCAUGAUAAACCAUGAAGUUGAAAAGAAUGAAAAUUUCAACAAAUGUCCAUGCAAGACAAAUAAAACAAAGGGUUUCUCGCUGCAAUGAAAUUCGGACCAAAAUUUCGAACCACCCGAGAGUUUCUCGCUGUAGCGAAAACAGAGCCAGUGCACACCCUCCCCCAACUCGAGACUUUCUCGUUGUAGCGAGAUUCAUUUUCGCUGUAGCGAGAAUCUGGCCAGAUGAAGUUAGGGGAAAUUUUCACUGCUAC
RNAcentral lists this long non-coding RNA (668 nucleotides) under Theobroma cacao (cacao). RNAcentral's name for it is "long non-coding RNA (TCAC_LNC002497)". Lineage: Eukaryota; Viridiplantae; Streptophyta; Magnoliopsida; Malvales; Malvaceae. The record is from RNAcentral.